Molecule: ribosomal RNA, 253 nt
Filed under: uncultured bacterium
Lineage: Bacteria
Description: partial 16S ribosomal RNA
Rfam family: Bacterial small subunit ribosomal RNA
Source: RNAcentral
UACGAAGGGGGCUAGCGUUGCUCGGAAUCACUGGGCGUAAAGGGUGCGUAGGCGGGUCUUUAAGUCCGGGGGGAAAUCCUGGAGCGCAACUCCAGAACUGCCUUUGAUACUGAGGAUCUUGAGUUCGGGAGAGGUGAGUGGAACUGCGAGUGUAGAGGUGAAAUUCGUAGAUAUUCGCAAGAACACCAGUGGCGAAGGCGGCUCACUGGCCCGAUACUGACGCUGAGGCACGAAAGCGUGGGGAGCAAACAGG